GAUGAACGCUGGCGGCAUGCCUAAUACAUGCAAGUCGAGCGAACAGACGAGGAGCUUGCUCCUCUGACGUUAGCGGCGGACAGGUGAGUAACACGUGGCUAACCUACCUAUAAUACUGGGAUAACUUCGGGAAACCGGAGCUAAUACCGGAUAAUAUAUUGAACCGCAUGGUUCAAUAGUGAAAGACGGUUUUGCUGUCACUUAUAGAUGGAUCCGCGCCGCAUUAGCUAGUUGGUAAGGUAACGGCUUACCAAGGCGACGAUGCGUAGCCGACCUGAGAGGGUGAUCGGCGACACUGGAGCGGAGACACGGUCCAGACUCCUACGAGAGGGAGCAGUAGGGAAUCUGCCGCAAUGGGCGAAAGCCUGACGGAGCGACGCCGCGUGAGUGAUGAAGGUCUUCGGAUCGUAAAACUCUGUUAUGAGGGAAGAACAAAUGUGUAAGUAACUAUGCACGUCUUGACGGUACCUAAUCAGAAAGCCACGGCUAACUACGUG
This 497-nucleotide ribosomal RNA is filed under the name uncultured bacterium. Its description in RNAcentral is "partial 16S ribosomal RNA". It matches the Rfam family "Bacterial small subunit ribosomal RNA", at positions 28 to 507 of the family's 1533-position model. The record is from RNAcentral.